Molecule: unclassified non-coding RNA, 292 nt
Filed under: uncultured fungus
Lineage: Eukaryota; Fungi
Description: sequence contains ITS1
Source: RNAcentral
GGACUACUGGGGUUUCUAAUCCUGUUUGCUCCCCACGCUUUCGUGCAUGAGCGUCAGUGUUAUCCCAGGAGGCUGCCUUCGCCAUCGGUAUUCCUCCACAUCUCUACGCAUUUCACUGCUACACGUGGAAUUCUACCUCCCUCUGACACACUCUAGCCGUGCAGUCACCAAUGCAAUUCCCAGGUUAAGCCCGGGGAUUUCACAUCGGUCUUGCACAACCGCCUGCGCACGCUUUACGCCCAGUAAUUCCGAUUAACGCUUGGACCCUACGUAUUACCGCGGCUGCUGGCAC